GUGCAUGCACAUAUACUAAAAGUGGAAUGAUACAGAGAGGAUUAGCAUGGCCCCUGCACAAGGAUGACACACAAAUUCAUGAAGCUUUCUAUAAUUUU
RNAcentral lists this small nuclear RNA (98 nucleotides) under Saimiri boliviensis boliviensis (Bolivian squirrel monkey). Lineage: Eukaryota; Metazoa; Chordata; Mammalia; Primates; Cebidae. The record is from RNAcentral.